This is a non-coding RNA of Cucurbita pepo subsp. pepo (vegetable marrow), 333 nucleotides long. The record is from RefSeq and is a predicted model, not a curated record. Lineage: Eukaryota; Viridiplantae; Streptophyta; Magnoliopsida; Cucurbitales; Cucurbitaceae.
CUCCAAAGGGCGUAGAUGUUCCAAAGGGGUACUUUACAGUUUAUGUUGGCGAGGUACAAAAGAAGCGAUUCGUCGUCCCACUGUCUUGCCUGAACCAACCUUCAUUUCAAGAUUUAUUGAGCCAAGCAGAAGAAGAAUUUGGAUAUGAACAUCCAAUGGGUGGCAUCACAAUUCCUUGCAGUGAAGAAACUUUCCUCAGUCUCAUACAGAGUUGAGGGAUUGAUUUACAAAAGUAGAUAGCAGAGGACAAUGAUUAGAAUAGCAUACAAUGUAUAGUCUUUACAUUUUUGAAUGAGAACUUGAUUCUUUGAAUUCAAUCUGUUGUUUAGUGUU